GACGUAGGGAGCAAGCGUUGUCCGGAUUCAUUGGGCGUAAAGGGUCCGUAGGCAGCUCAGCAAGUCUGGUGUGAAAUCUCCAGGCUCAGCCUGGAGGGGCCACCUGAUACUGCUGUGGCUAGAGUCCAGUAGGGGAGCGUGGAAUACCCGGUGUAGCGGUGAAAUGCGCAGAUAUCGGGUGGAACACCAGUGGCGAAGGCGGUGCUCUGGGCUGGAACUGACGCUGAUGGACGAAAGCGUGGGUAGCAAACAGG
RNAcentral lists this ribosomal RNA (254 nucleotides) under uncultured bacterium. Its description in RNAcentral is "partial 16S ribosomal RNA". It matches the Rfam family "Bacterial small subunit ribosomal RNA", at positions 524 to 776 of the family's 1533-position model. The record is from RNAcentral.